RNAcentral lists this long non-coding RNA (1633 nucleotides) under Dicentrarchus labrax (European seabass). RNAcentral's name for it is "lncRNA (ENSDLAG00005034853.1)". The record is from RNAcentral. Lineage: Eukaryota; Metazoa; Chordata; Actinopteri; Moronidae.
CUGUACAAACCAGUCAAUGCUGAGGUGCAGAAGGUGACCUUAACUUCACAGCAGGAAAAAGAGAAAGUGAGGGAAAGAGAUAGAGAAGCAUGAUGGCUGAAUUCGGAUGGAUUAAAAUAUCUUUUUUACUGACACCAGUGCUUCAGAUUACAGCAGUAACUGGACAAAGUUCAGACUCGUUGAUUGUCAGAGCUGGAGAUGACGUCACUUUGCCUUGUGAAAAUGUGAUAAAUGAUCACCAUAGCUGUGUCAGUACAACAUGGAUCUUCAGUGGUUCCAGAAACACAGUAACACUGUUUGAAAAUGGGCAGAUUCACAAAGAUGCCAUGGCUAAAUCAGACAGACUGAGUGUUACAGCGAACUGUUUUCUGGUUAUAAAGAAGGUCACAGUCGAGGAUGUUGGUCGUUACGUCUGCAGGCAGUUUAUAUCAGGACAACAACAAGAUCCAGACUCUCUGGUUGAUUUGUCUGUUAUUACCAUGACUGAACAUAAAGACUCUGAUAAGGUGACAUUAAGCUGCUCUCUGUCGACAUAUGGACCAUGUACAUACACAGUGAAGUGGCUGAAUGAGGAUAAAGAUGUGGAUAAUGAUAACCAAGACUUGAAGACAUCACAGCGCACCUGCUUUGCCAAUGUGACCUUUGGCACUGCAAAGAAUUACAAGUUAGCGAAGUGUAAUGUGAAAGAUAGUUACACUGGAGAGGAACUGCAGUUUACCUUCAGCCGUCUGUCCGCAGAUUGGUGGUGGUACAUCCUUGUUGCUGUGGGUCUAGCAGCACUCUUGAUAAUUGUUGUUGCGGCUGUGAGUUGGAGAUAUAAAGCAAACAAAACACAGAUGGAUGACAACAUUGCAUUGACUUCAGAUCCUGCAGUGACUCAGACCGCUCCAAAAACCAGUCAAGCCGCAGCUGAUCCUGAAGAUGGUGUUUCCUAUGCCUCCAUCAGCUUCACCAAGAAGACCAACAGUAAAGCCCGGGUUCUGGGUGGUGAUGAGGCAGUGACCUACAGCACUGUGAGGGCGCCCUCCUCGUCUGCUGGAGCCUCCGCUGACCCCAACAGCCUCUAUGCUACCAUCAACUAACCUAGACAUAGAGUUAUUAUUUUACAUGAAUUCUUCAUCGUAAAAUCAUGUCAAUGUUUAUUGAAAAAGUGACUAUGGAUUGACUGUGUUGAUUCUUGUGGAGAAAUUGUCGAUGAAAUCCAAAUGUUAGACAGUAUUUUAUGUUUAAUCCUCAUUUUGUGUAAUUCAUUGCUAUUUUCUUGUAUUAUAAUGUUGAAAUUUUGUUUUUAGCACAACCAGGUGUUCCCCUUUCUUUCCCUUGUUGCUGUAAAAAGCUUUUUGUCCAGAAGGGGAAGAUUUAAGUUAAGGUACUACAAUUUAAAAGUAAUAGCCCAACAUGCAUAUGGCUGAUUGCAACAUAAAUAUGAUACAUUUCGCUUAGUGAACUUUCUGUCAUUAUUGUAUUUUUAUCUUUUUAAAGCAUGUUUCAGUUUAUUACAACUACAAUAUUUAACAUACAUACAUACAUACAUAUAUAUGUAUAGAUGUAUAGAUGUAUAUAUAUAUAUAUAUAUAUAUGUAUAUACAUCUAUCAUGAGACAAGUUUAGAAAUUACUUGUCACAUGAGUCAA